RNAcentral lists this long non-coding RNA (503 nucleotides) under Manihot esculenta (cassava). RNAcentral's name for it is "long non-coding RNA (MESC_LNC012993)". The record is from RNAcentral. Lineage: Eukaryota; Viridiplantae; Streptophyta; Magnoliopsida; Malpighiales; Euphorbiaceae.
AUUAAUUGGUUAUAAAAACCAAAACCACAGUGGCAAAAGCGCCUAACACAUCGUAUUUCAAAGGACCCGUCGACCGCCUGAGCAGCAGCACGUCGCGCCAGCUCCACCGCCGCAUCGCGCGCCUGUGAGCCUCCGCACGCCGCACCUCUGCAUCGACCGCUCGUUUGCAGCCCACCUCUGCAUCGCGCGACUGGGAGCCGCUGCAGCACUGCACCUCGUGCUCGUGAGCCGCCGCACGCCGCACCUUUGCAUCGACCGCUCGUUUACAGCCCACCGCUGUAUCGCGCGACUGUGAGCCUCCGCACGCACGCACCUCUGCAUCGACUGCUCGUUUGCCACCCACCUGGCUCCUCUGCAGUUCAGCAGUUCAACGGUAAGCAUUUUUUUUUUAAUCCGAAGAAAAUAGUUCCUGUCCCUCCAAUGAUAUGUGGGCUCUGGUUGCUCACUUAGCAUUGCUAAAUAGGUUUGCACACAUAUGUGAAUAUGUUUUUAGCAGUCUGGGU